GAUGAACGCUGGCGGCGUGCCUAACACAUGCCAGUCGAACGAAGAAAUUAAGAUUGUUUUUCUGGGUGACGUCCUUCGUGACUUAGUGGCAGACGGGUGAGAAAUACCUGGGUAACUUGCCUCACACAGGGGGAUCACAGCUAGAACUGACUGAUAUUUCCGCCUAACCGGAUAGGAUGGCAAGAUCCAUAUUGCAAACACUUAUCGGUGUAGCAUGGACCCGCGUCGUAUUAGAUAGGUAGACAGGUUACGGCCCAUCAAGGCGACGACCAGUACCCGGGCAGUGAGGGUGAGCGGCCACAUUGGCGCUGGGACACAGCCCAGACUCCUACGGGAUGCAGGAGUGGGUAAUAUUGCACAAUGGGGGAAACGCUGAUGCAGCGACGCCGCGUGAAUGAUGAAAUAAUUGGGGAUGUAAAGCUCUAGCAGCAGGGAAGAUAAUGACGGUACCUGACUAAGAAGCCCCGGCUAACUACGUG
Molecule: ribosomal RNA, 479 nt
Filed under: uncultured bacterium
Lineage: Bacteria
Description: partial 16S ribosomal RNA
Rfam family: Bacterial small subunit ribosomal RNA
Source: RNAcentral